RNAcentral lists this ribosomal RNA (497 nucleotides) under uncultured bacterium. Its description in RNAcentral is "partial 16S ribosomal RNA". It matches the Rfam family "Bacterial small subunit ribosomal RNA", at positions 28 to 507 of the family's 1533-position model. The record is from RNAcentral.
GACGAACGCUGGCGGCGUGCUUAACACAUGCAAGUCGAGCGGACGGACGAGGAGCUUGUGUCGCUGACGAUUGCGGAGGACGGGUGAGUAACACGUGGAUCACCUCCCUAUAAGACUGGGAUAACCUCGGGAAACGGGAGCUAAUACGGGAUGAUCUUCUGAACCGUGUGGUUCAAAAGUGAAAGACGGUCGUGCUGUCUCGUAUAGAUGGAUACGGGCUGCAUUAGCUAGUUGGUAAGUUAACGGCUUACCAAGGCAACGAUGCAUAGCCGACGGGAGAGGGGGGUCGGCGGCACGAGAGCUGAGACGCGGACCAGACUCCUACGGGAGGCAGCAGUAGGGAAUCUGCGGCAGCGGGCGAGAGCCUUGCGGAGCGACGGGGCGUGUGUUAUAAAGGUCUUCGGAGCGUGAAACUCUGUUAUGAGGUGAAAACAUAUUUGUCAGUAACUGUACACAUCUUGACGGUACCUAAUCAGAAAGCCACGGCUAACUACGUG